Molecule: ribosomal RNA, 473 nt
Filed under: uncultured bacterium
Lineage: Bacteria
Description: bacterial SSU rRNA
Rfam family: Bacterial small subunit ribosomal RNA
Source: RNAcentral
UGAACGCUAGCGGCAGGCCUAACACAUGCAAGUAGAACGGUAACAGAGAGAGCUUGCUCUCUGCUGACGAGUUGCGAACGGGUGCGUAACGCGUAUGCAACCUACCCAUAACAGGGGGAUAGCCCAUAGAAAUGUGGAUUAAUACCCCAUAAUAUCAUAGAUUGGCAUCAUGAAAUGAUUAAAACUCCGGUGGUUAUGGAUGGGCAUGCGUGACAUUAGCUAGUUGGUGAGGUAACUGCUCACCAAGGCGACGAUGUCUAGGGGUUCUGAGAGGAUGAUCCCCCACACUGGUACUGAGACACGGACCAGACUCCUACGGGAGGCAGCAGUGAGGAAUAUUGCGCAAUGGAGGAAACUCUGACGCAGCCAUGCCGCGUGCAGGAAGACUGCCCUAUGGGUUGUAAACUGCUUUUAUAUAGGAAGAACUACAGCUACGUGUAGCUGUUUGACGGUACUAUACGAAUAAGGACCGG